CUAGCUACAGGCUUAACACAUGCAAGUCGAGGGGCAGCAUGAACUUAUCUUGCUAAGUUUGAUGGCGACCGGCGCACGGGUGAGUAACACGUAUCCAACCUGCCGAUGACUCGGGGAUAGCCUUUCGAAAGAAAGAUUAAUACCCGAUGGCAUAGUUCUUCCACAUGGUAGAACUAUUAAAGAAUUUCGGUCAUCGAUGGGGAUGCGUUCCAUUAGGUUGUUGGCGGGGUAACGGCCCACCAAGCCUUCGACGGAUAGGGGUUCUGAGAGGAAGGUCCCCCACAUUGGAACUGAGACACGGUCCAAACUCCUACGGGAGGCAGCAGUGAGGAAUAUUGGUCAAUGGACGAGAGUCUGAACCAGCCAAGUAGCGUGAAGGAUGACUGCCCUAUGGGUUGUAAACUUCUUUUAUACGGGAAUAAAGUGAGGCACGUGUGCCUUUUUGUAUGUACCGUAUGAAUAAGGAUCGGCUAACUCCGUGCCAGCAGCCGCGGUAAUACGGAGGAUCCGAGCGUUAUCCGGAUUUAUUGGGUUUAAAGGGAGCGUAGGCGGACGCUUAAGUCAGUUGUGAAAGUUUGCGGCUCAACCGUAAAAUUGCAGUUGAUACUGGGUGUCUUGAGUACAGUAGAGGCAGGCGGAAUUCGUGGUGUAGCGGUGAAAUGCUUAGAUAUCACGAAGAACUCCGAUUGCGAAGGCAGCCUGCUGGACUGUAACUGACGCUGAUGCUCGAAAGUGUGCGUAUAAAAGGAGGAUUAGAUACCCUGGUAGUCCACACAGAAACGAUGGAAUACUCGCUGUUUGCGAUAUACAGUAAGCGGCCAAGCGAAAGCGUUAAGUAUUCCACCUGGGGAGUACGCCGGCAACGGUGAAACUCAAAGGAAUUGACGGGGGCCCGCACAAGCGGAGGAACAUGUGGUUUAAUUCGAUGAUACGCGAGGAACCUUACCCGGGCUUGAAUUGCAACUGAAUGAUGUGGAGACAUGUCAGCCGCAAGGCAGUUGUGAAGGUGCUGCAUGGUUGUCGUCAGCUCGUGCCGUGAGGUGUCGGCUUAAGUGCCAUAACGAGCGCAACCCUUAUCGAUAGUUACCAUCAGGUGAUGCUGGGGACUCUGUCGAGACUGCCGUCGUAAGAUGUGAGGAAGGUGGGGAUGACGUCAAAUCAGCACGGCCCUUACGUCCGGGGCUACACACGUGUUACAAUGGGGGGUACAGAAGGUAGCUACACGGUGACGUGAUGCUAAUCCCUAAAGCCUCUCUCAGUUCGGAUUGGAGUCUGCAACCCGACUCCAUGAAGCUGGAUUCGCUAGUAAUCGCGCAUCAGCCACGGCGCGGUGAAUACGUUCCCGGGCCUUGCACAAAGCGCCCGUC
RNAcentral lists this ribosomal RNA (1367 nucleotides) under uncultured bacterium. RNAcentral's name for it is "16S ribosomal RNA". It matches the Rfam family "Bacterial small subunit ribosomal RNA", at positions 36 to 1398 of the family's 1533-position model. The record is from RNAcentral.